GAUCAUGGCUCAGGAUGAACGCUGGCGGCGUGCUUAACACAUGCAAGUCGAGCGAAGCACCUAAGAAAGAUUCUUCGGAUGAAUUAUUUUGUGACUGAGCGGCGGACGGGUGAGUAACGCGUGGGUAACCUGCCUCAUACAGGGGGAUAACAGUUAGAAAUGACUGCUAAUACCGCAUAAGACCACGGUACUGCAUGGUACAGUGGUAAAAACUCCGGUGGUAUGAGAUGGACCCGCG
RNAcentral lists this ribosomal RNA (238 nucleotides) under uncultured bacterium. RNAcentral describes it as "partial 16S ribosomal RNA". It matches the Rfam family "Bacterial small subunit ribosomal RNA", at positions 15 to 235 of the family's 1533-position model. The record is from RNAcentral.